Non-coding RNA from Solanum tuberosum (potato), 131 nucleotides. NCBI's taxonomy places the organism in Eukaryota, Viridiplantae, Streptophyta, Magnoliopsida, Solanales, Solanaceae. The record is from Rfam.
UAAAGAAAAAUGUGUCAAUAUAGCUAAAGACGACUGCCUAGUAUACUAUUAAGUACUCCAUAAAAUAUUGGAGGAAAAUAGUAGGUACAUUAGGCAAGUCAUCCUUGGCUAAUUAACAAAGGUUUUUCUUU